AGGACGAACGCUAGCGGCGUGUUUGAAACAUGCAAGUCGAACGGGAAGAGCAAUCUUUUAGUGGCGAACGGGUGCGUAACACGUAAAGAACCUAUCCAACAGCGGGGGAUAGCCUCUGGAAACGGGGGGUAAUACCGCAUACGCUACAAGGCAGGCAUCUGCAAUGUAGGAAAGGGGUACGAAAGUAUCUCACUGAUGGAGGGCUUUGCGGCCUAUCAGGUAGUUGGUGGGGUAACGGCCUACCAAGCCAAAGACGGGUAGCUGGUCUGAGAGGACGAUCAGCCACACUGGGACUGAGAUACGGCCCAGACUCCUACGGGGGGCAGCAGUUUAGAAUAUUGUGCAAUGGGCGAAAGCCUGACACAGCGACGCCGCGUGGGUGAUGAAGGCCUUCGGGUCGUAAAGCCCUGUUGGUAGGGAAGAGAACGGACGGUACCGUACCGAGGAAGCCCCGGCUAACUACGUGCCAGCAGCCGC
This 477-nucleotide ribosomal RNA is filed under the name uncultured bacterium. RNAcentral describes it as "SSU rRNA". It matches the Rfam family "Bacterial small subunit ribosomal RNA", at positions 26 to 518 of the family's 1533-position model. The record is from RNAcentral.